GGCGGGGUCAGGGUCCUCCAUGCUGGACGAAGACCUCCCAGUGCUUUAGGGUUACCCAGAGUCCUUUCUAUGACCCUCUACUCUCGACCUGUAAGCGACCUAAGAAACAGGCUCUCCAGGGUGAACCUGGGUGAGGCUGUGCUUUGCCCCUGGGAACUCAGGAAGUAAAUGACGGUUCUAUCUCCCUAGGGAGGGCUUUUUGAAUCUAUCGCGGUCAAGGCAACCACAGAACCUCUCAGUGUUACCCACAGUUUCUGGGGCAACAGCCCUGUUUCGGUCCCUUGAACAGUGGUCACCUCCCCAGCAUUUGCUCAAGGUGUAUAACUCUCCCUCUUCACUCGUGCAGGAGAAUUUCAGAAACUAUAAAAAGAGACAGCCCCCACUCUGCCACACACACACACACACACACACACACACACACACACACACACACACACAAUCACCAACCGCAGACCACACUGAAUGCUUCAGACGCUAGCCUUUCUGCAUGGCUCGCAACCUGAAGGGCCUUUUAUCUUCCAGGGAGCAGAGAAAGCCCGCCAUCAGGGAGCAGCCAACAAAGGCCAGUCACUAGCUGCUGCCCUGCUUACUGAAGCAGCCGGGGGAGAGGGAUUGCUCUGGCCCCCUUGUUGCCAGACUGGGCUCAGGUUCUCAGUCCUCUGGGGUUGCUUUAAUCUACUUCCACACAGGCCAGCAGUUCCCAGCCACCGCGGAGUCACUUAAGGGUGGCCGCCGCUCGUCAGGAGUGUGAAGAAAUAGUGUCAGCCACGUACUCCCCCUUCAUCCAUGGGAGAUGAGUUCCAAGACCACCAGAGGAUGGCUGAUGGCGAGAUUGCCUGCUGUCUCUCUGUAAGCAUGGUGAAGCCCUGUUCACACUCUGGGAAGAGGUAAAAGCCAACACCACAGUGAUUACAAGACACCAGCUAACACGCUAUGCUGUGAGAAAGGGGGCGACUGUGGUCCCUCUGUGUCUCAGAGUAUCUGACUUCACUAUCGAGAGGGCUCUCCCUGUGUCUCCUGAGGCGACAUUGAGGCAUGAGUACCUCAUGGGACCAAAAGAGGGCGCUGCAUCCCUUGGAACCGGAGCUACAGAGAGCUGAGCGCCACCUUCCCUGUGCUGGAUUUUGAACCUGGGUCUUCUGGAAGAGCAGCCAGAGCUCUUAACCAGUCUUACCAGCCUCCAGAGGAAUGAUUCCAGCCGUAAGCUUUUACUCAUUCUACUAGAAUUGUGUACACUGUGUGUAAAUUAUUGUUGAAACUUCCCAUGUGAUAUCCUCAGCCCACUGUUGACCAAGGGCCAGUGAAACUAUAGUACAGAGAAGGUUCCGAGAGGGACGCAGCGCACCAGGUAAAAAACUGGAGUCAGAGAAAUUAUUCAACUAAUAAACGAGUUCACCUUGGAGGGUAUUAUUUCCAGUGCACAAGUGACUAGGGGUAUUGCCUAGGUCACAUACAGCCUAUUACCCCCAGGGGACAGGACCAGGAUUCUAUCUCAGGGACACUGACUGAUCUCACCUAUCCCAGCACUGAGGCCUCAAAAGUGGCCUUGGCUCCUCUAAGCCACCCAGGAGGAGACAUCUUCCUGUAAAAGAUCUCACAAGCAGCCCAGAUCUUUUCCAAGGGUUCCUCAAAAUCCAACAGAAUACACAUCUGAAUUUUUACUGCCCAUCCCAUAAUAGGAAUAUAACUUAUGAUUGCUGGCAAGCCAGGCUUCAGCCGCCUCCAUAAAUCUGGCCCUCUGAUCAAAUCCACAUGCAUUUCAGCAGAGCCGGGCCCUCGGAGGGGAGCAGGGAAGGAACUGGAGCGAGGGCUGAGGCUUUUUUGGGUUAAUCACAGCCGGAAUAUUAACCGCGAGUCCUGCUGAUUUCCUCAUGAAUAGAUUCAGACGUCCCAGCAUGCAGGCCUGACUCGGUUCACGCAGUCAGAACCUCAGAACCGCAAGUGUCCAGAACACAGGCUUCCAGAACGGGGUGAGCUUCAGCUGAAGGCCAAGAUUCAUUUCCCCUGAGAAAAACAAUGUCUCAACCACUCCAGGGGAGGUUGGGGUGGUAGUGGGGAGCUUGAAUCAUGGCGGAAGCCUCCCUGUGCGGUUGGAGGCAAAGGGGAGCAAACCACCGUUUGGUUGGAGGCAAGGGGGAGCAAACCACAGUUUGGUUUCUCACUUCCAAAACAGGCCCACAAUUUUCAAUGAACACUUGAAGGAUUUUUUUUUUGCCUUAUAACUUCAUUUCUUCCUUCCUCUUUGUUUCUUUUUAAAAUGCAACAUGCCAGUCUGUGAUUGGCUUUACUGGGUAAAGGAGGGCAGACAGGAACGGAGAAGGAAAUAGAAAUUGUUCAAAUGAAGACUAAGAUCUAGAGAGGAAAGUCCCAUGUAGCGCCCGGGCAUUCCAAGGUCAUUUUCCACGAGAACGGACACCAUCUUGCCCCAGAACUGCUGCUGUCCUUCACAGAGCCAAGCUUGCCUUCUUGUGCCUCCUGAAACAUGACAGCUCUGAGGGGGCACCAAGGGUCCCCAUUUCUCAGAUGUGGAGAUAGAGCCCAACCCCAUUCCCUUUCCUUUCCCUCUUUUUAAUGUGGCUUCAAACUCACAGUUCUUCCUCUUCAGUCUCUAAGUAGCUGGGAUUAUAGGUGUGCCCUUCUGGCAUAGGUAUUUCCCUCAGGACUGAGGAGCCCAGAGGGCCAGAUCUUUUUAAUUGUUGUUGGUGCAUCUUCAUACCUUGCAAAGAGCUUUGUGGAUACUAAGUGACCAACGAACUGCCAAGCAAACACAACAGGCGCUGAGUUGAAGCCUUCUUGAGCCCGAUAUGCAGCCUAUGCCUCAGAGUUCACCAGUGAACAGUGUCUCUGAGCUCUGAGCUCCUUGCAAGGGGAGGAGACGUGGCUUGGGCAGUGGACUGGGUGAACGUCCAUUUAUCUCCACAUGGCUCCCCUGUCAGUGAACAGAACACCCACGGUUCACACAAGAUGAUGCCAGGCAUCUCUGCCUCUCCCCUCCCUCAGCACCUCAGCGCUCAACUGUGUGAAGGGAUCCCUUCUUCCCAAGUCUAUCUCCAUCUUCCCAAUCAGGGAUUGAAUUCAGUAAGCGCCCCCUACAGACUCCUGUAUAAUACAACCAGUCGCCAGCAGGUGGGGCUGUUUGGAGGACGAUGUGGGAACUGUAGGAUUUAGUCUGGCUGAAAGAAGUCACAUGGGGGUGGGGCAGCUCUUGCCCGGUACAUUAUCCCGGGUCCCUUCCUGUCUACCAUGAUGGUCACAUUCCUCCAAUCACAGUGGCCACCAGCUUUCUCCCGGAUUCCUCUAACCCUGUCGUCCCUCACAGCUCUGCCUGCUUCUAGCCCUUCAAGCCCUUCAGGUCUGACUCUUCCCCACUUCGGCCUGUGUCGUAGUUCUGCUGACCUCUCUCAGUAGCAUCCCAAGUGGGGUGCCCCAAAUGGGAAGCACACAACGGGGCCCCGGAACGUGAAAGGAAGCUGGAAGGUUUCCAUCCCCACCUUACCCUUUAAAGGUUGCAUUAUGUGUACUCCCUAAGGUAGUGUCUCAGACCAUGGUUUGCAGAGCCCUAGGCAGGGAUCGAGUGUGUGUGGGGGAAUCAGUUGGGGGGUCUGACACCAGGGAGACAUCAGUGAGAGAGGAAGGGAAGUAGAUCACGAAGAGGAAAAAACACAAAAAAGGUGAACGUAGACAGCACCUGUGGUGUCUGACACAGGAUAACUGAACAUCAUUCUCCAUAGCCGCUACUACCCCCUCAGGUGAUUGUAGCUCGAUUCAAGUUAGCAUUAAAGGAGCGAGGCUGUGUGUCAGCUGGUCCACACAAGAUGCUCUUCUUUGAGACAAGGCUUCUCAUUGGUCUGGGCUUGCUGGGUUCACUAGGUUGACUGCCUGGCAGGCAAACUCCAGGGAUUGCCCUCCCUGCCUCCCCAGCAGCUAAAAACGACAAGAGCACAUCGCAGUGCGUGCCAGCUCUCUUCUUGUGUGCCAGAAGCUCAGAGCUCCUGGCCAAAGAGAUGCUCCUCAGGCUUAGCCAGAGCACUCUUCUCACAACAACUGGAGGGACCCCUGGAAUCUCAACCCCGGGUCACUGUAGCCUCCUUGGAUGGAGGCUGGGAGCCCCAGGCAACGACUGCACCGUCAUAGCCAUCACAAGGUGCUGCAGGAGAAGCAGAGCUGGAGCUACAGGUGCUUAGUGGCCUUGGGUAACUCCCAAGGGAGACACUUUGUGUGGGGCAGUGGGCCCCCAUCAUCAUCCCAUUUUACAGAGGAGGAAACUGAGGCUCAGGAAAGUAAGAAGUUCAUCCGAGGCCGCACGGUUAGGAGGGAUGUGAGGGUAAAGGCUCAUGUUGGUUUGACGUCCUUGGGAAGACAGACAAACUCAAAACACCUAUUGUAGUCCCACACUGUGGGCUGGAACCCAGUUGUCCCGAGGAACCAGCUGGAGCAAGGCUGCACCAUGAACCUGGAUGAGCUGCAAUCUAGGCAGUACAGGGGUCACAGAGGCAGGGAGGCUUACCCAGGACCGGGCAGUCGUGUGCCCCAACUGCCACCUCAUUACCCAGGAAUGCGGAAGAAUGAUUCCUCUAAGGGGAGUCGCUCCCCUCCGGCUUUACUGGAUCUGGUGAUUAUGACUUUUCCUGAUCUAUUACACCUAGCACUUAAGGACCUCCUACAGCUGCUACAAACCCGAAGCCCCUACCAAGGCUGACAGCCAGAGAGGAAUGCCAGCAAAGGAAGCUCCUGCCUCCAGGCUCCGGCAUUGAGUUCCUGUUCUGACUUCCUCCAGUGAUGGAUCAUGAUGUAGAAGAGCUGUGAGUCAGCAAAACCCUUUCCUCCCCAAGUUGCUUCUUGGUCAUGGGGUUUCAUCACAGCAAUAGUGUCCCUGACUAGGAGAGAGGGAUUCAACUGUCUGUUACCGGGAGACAGACACAGCUUAAGUCAUGAACUGAAGCACAGUCCGUGAACUGAAGCCAAGGCUGUGUUCAUGAGCAAAAUACGGCUGAGAUUGUGACGACUGAGUGUUGUGUGUAUGUGUUCUCUGUGUGUGAGUAUGUGGGAGUGCCUGUGUGAAUUUGUGUCUGAGUAUGUGUAUGACUGGGUAUCUGUGUAUCUCUGUGUAUCUGUGUGUGUGAGUAUAUGUGUGAGUCUAUGUAUUGUAUGUGAGUAUGUGUAUAUGCUUCUGUGUAAACAUGUGUGUAUGAGUGUAUGUAUGUGUAUGAGGGUGUGUUACGGUCUGUGGGUGAGUGUGUGUAUUGUGUAUAUGUGUAUGUAUGUAUAUAUUGUGAAUGAGUAUGUAUCCGUGUAUGUCUGUGUGUGCAUUGUGUUUGUCUAUGUCUGUAUGUGUGAGUGUGUGUGUCUGUUUGUCUAUAUGUCUAUGUGAGUGCGUGUAUGUGUUUGUGUAUGUGUGUGUAUGUGUCUAUGCCCCAGAUUCCUGAGCAGUACCUUAAGCCAGGAUGAAGUUUGAAUAAAAAUAUGCAAACACAUGUGAAUGAUCGAUGAGUGUGGUAUGAGAAUGUGUGGGCGUGUGUGUGUGUGUGUGUGUGUGUGUGUGUGUGUGUGUAGUGCAAACUUUAAGGAAAGUCUUUGGAAAGUCAGUUGUGUUGGAUGUUGUUUUGCUGGGGCAAAUAUGUAAAGGAGUGUUUUCCUGAAAUGAACACAGGUGAAAGACUGAGGCAGACUAAUGAAGGAAUGUUUCACUGAAGCAGACACAGGAGAAUGGAUGUUUUGCUAAAGCAAGCAUGUGAAAGGACACAUGAUGAAGGAUUCUUUACUAAUAAUGCACAUGUAUUGGUCUGCCUUACACUGCAUAGUUGAACUCCAUUUGUUGGACUCCAUAGAGAGAAAUGUACCAAAAAUCCUCUGGUGGUGUACUGCCGUUUCUCACCCCAUUCGUGAACUUGGGCUGAUUGGCAGAGUGAUGUCAGCUGAGACAAGACUUGUGGAGGACACGUGAUGUUUGGAGAGGAUAUAAAUAGAACUCGACAGACAGUAACAGAGGCUGAGCUAGGCUUGCGUAAGAGCUAGCUGUGCAAUGCUUGUUGGUCUCGCAUCUUUGCUGAUCUUCACUUCCCUGAGAGGCACAGUCAAGAACGUCUCCUGGUGUUCUGUUGGUCCUGCCUGCUGCCUCAUGCUGAGGCCUGGCUGUGUCUGCUAGGUCGUGCCACUGCUGCUGAUUCAUGUUUGCUAUCCCGACUCUCCUGAACAAGAUUGUCCAUGAAGUGUUUAGAACUAGCUGCCACUGCUGACCUGUGAACCGAACUGCUGAUUUCCAGACAACACAGACAGGAGUUGCUCCAAAGAAACAUUUCUAAACAGGUCCACUCCCCCUGUAUCCUUUCUCUCCCACUACCUCUGGUGGGUGGUAGGCUACAAGGGAAGUUAAAGCAUUUAAGAACCAUCAUUAAAAGUAAGGUUUAAAAAAUAUGUAAAUUACACAUGUGUGGGUGGAUAGACAUGUAUGUGUGUGAGGUGUGUGUGGGCAUGUGUGUGGGAUGUGAAUAUGUGGGCAUGUGUGAUGUGUGUGGGUUGUGAGUGUGUGGAUGUGUGUGGAAUGUGUGGACAUAUGUGUGGGGUGUGAGUGUGUGGGUGUGAGUGUGUGGGCAUGUAUGUGGGAUGUGAGUAUGUGGUCAUGUGUGAUGUGUGUGGGGUGUGAGUGUGUGGAUGUGUGUGGAGUGUGUGGACUUAUGUUCGGGGUGUGAGUGUGUGGGCAUAUAUGUGGGGUGUAUGUGGGUAUGUGUGUGGGGGUAUGAGUGUGUGGACGUGUGUUUGUGCGUGUAAUACGAGUGUGUGAUGUGUGAGUGUGUAGACAUGUAUGUACAAUGUGUGUGUGAACAUGUGUGUGGAGUGUGUGAGUGUGGAACAUGUGUGCGGGAGAGUCUGUAUCCUGAACCCAGAGGAGGCAUCAGGAGUCCUGAUCCAUUCUCUCCUACCUUUGAGUCAGAGUCUCUUCUCUCACUGAACUCAUGAGUAGCAAACCUCGAUGAUGCUCACACCUCCUCCCCCACAGCUCUAGGGCUGUAGAUGAGCACCCAGCCCUGCCCACACUUUAGCUUCUUAAAAGGAAGCUGAGGAUUCAAACUCAGGUCCUCAGGCUGUGUAUCAGGCGCUCUUGCCUGCGGAGUCAUCCUCCCAGCACUGACAUGUUUUUAAGACAAUCUCUAAGAGUUCCUUUUUAUUUCAGAUAGGUCUUCUUUGAUUUCACAAAUACCUCUUUCCACCCGCUGCUGUAUUCUUGUUCCCUCCACGGUGUCUUUUGAUUAUUAUUAACGGCAAUGGCUGUUUUCCAAGUUUCCAACAUCCCUCUUUAGUUAACACUUUGGUGCGGUGUUUAAUGGUCUUUGCUGACUGCAGGAACACAGCCCAGACCUGUGUUGUGUUUGCCUAGAAGCUUCCCUUUGUGUCUGCACGUGUAGAAAUGUAAUCACCAGGAAUUGACUUUUGUGGCUGGGGUGAGGCAGAGCUCAGAAUGUUCCAGCCUCUGUCCCCACCCCAUGCCAAUUUCCACUUAAGCCAACACCAGCCUUUUGGUUCAAUCUCCUUUCUCCCUGCUUGCCCUGAGACCUUGCAGAUGCAUUUGCGUGAGUCCGUUUCUGACCUUUUUGCUCUUGCUCAGCUGGGCCACGUGAGCCUAUCUUUAAGAAGGUCUAUUUGGAAGGGAGAAGAAACACCACCGCAUCUGCUGUGUCACGAACACAGCCCUGGUCAGAGGAGGGCGAAGAAAGCCACCCAGCCUCCAGAGACAGCAGCUGUUCAGUGGCCUACGACCUUCCUAACUUGACUUUCAGAGUCUAGAACAUCUCUGGCAUUGACCGUGGGGUCUCCCAGGGGCAGUCCAGUAUACAGUGGGCAUCGAGCAUCCUUGGCAGUGCAGGCUUAAAAGUUCAUCCUCUCCACUGGACUGAGUGCAAAGCCCUCGUCGCUGCUUCCGUCUCCCCUGCAAAUAGCUUCUCCCCCGUAAGCUGGUGAAAUACAAGGUCUGGCUGUAGCCAUCUCCUCCCCGCUCACUGCUGUUUAAAAUAUGAGACACUGCAUCAUAGUGUGGAGGUUCAAAAUUACCCCGAAGCAAUCAUUUCCUAGAGGGCUGGUAGUAAACAUUCUGUCACAGGACUAUAGAUUUUCUCCUGUCUCCAUCAAUCACCCCCCUGGGAGAUAUUAGGGAGAACGAACAGAGCCCGGGAGCAUCCCCACAUGCGUUCACUCCUGCCAGGUCCCUGCCGAGGGAGGUGUGCUUGAUGGCCCAUGGCAAACUGGCUCAAGGCAGGUGGGGUCCUUCUGCCAAAGGGCAAGAGAUGGGAUUUUGGGUGCUGUGUGUGGUCUGUUGGGUUAACCUUGGCACACCUGAGACCAGGCUAGCCCCUUUGGGAGCACCACGUGCCUAUUCAUCUUUCUCAUGUGCCAACUUAACCUUUAGUCUCCUCAGGGCAGAGCCGUUAUAUUAGCAUGCUAAUACUGCUUCACAGAGGAGGAAAUGGAGGGUUGGAGAUGUUGGGUGUCUCGUGUUGCCAGAGCUCAACCUAUUGGAUCUGGUAUGCCCUAUUUCCAGGGGUUGAGAGCUAUCUCACGGCACACAGCUGUAGGCUUAGUUGUUUUUUCUUUUCAAAACCUACUUUUAAUAACGGUUUUCAAACACUCCCGUCCCCCUUCUAGUUCACUGUCCAAAGGUAGGGGAGAAAGGAUGGUAAAGAGGACAACGGGAUGUGGUCCUGUAGUUCUUUGGGUCAAUUCCAAUCUCCAUUGUCAGGAUCCCAGCAGUCCAGUUCAGCAGUGUCAGGAUACCAGUUCAAAAGUGCCACCAAACAUGAGUCAGUAAUUGUAUCACGAUCCAGCAGAAACCGCCAGGCCUCCGCCAAAUCGGCCAAGUCAGCAUGAACGACCAGGACCAAUCAGAAUGCCACGAGUUCCCUGCGGCACCUCUCUCAAUGAAGUGACAAUCGGUGAAGAAGACGUGAGACCAAUGAAUGUUGCAUGGCUAGCUAAGUAAUUACCGUCUCUCCCCAAAUAUCACGUGUCCUCUCACGGGUCUUGCCUCAGCAAAGCACACGUGAGUCUGUAUCACAUGACACAACCAGAAGCUUUCCCUCCAUACAGCUUCUCUCAAAACACCCAGCUGUGUGCAGGCUACCGGCUCCCGUCCUCACUGACCAUUGAAGACCUUUUGUCUGCAUGGUACAGACAAGAAGGAUGGAGGCUCCAGUGUGGGGAGCUGCCCAGUUAGGUUCAGCAAGAAGAUGCUGGGCUACUUUCCGUUGUAUGAUAAACACUCCACCAAAGCAACCUGGGGGGGGGGUCGGGGAAGAGGGCUCUUUGGCUUCUGCUUCCAGGUCAAAGUUCAUCUUUGGGGCAAAUCAGGGCAGGAACUCAAGCAGGAGUUUGAAGUGGAAACGGUGGAGGGUGAUGCUGCCUUGCUCACUCAUUCACAGACACCGAGAGAGCGUGGCUGCAAGGAGCUGGGAUGCAGGACACCUCUUGAAGCUCGGUUGGAAUCAUCUUCCUAUGCUUCCCCCCCACAGUCACUGUCUGAGGCAAGCCAUGUGACAAGUUCAACAAAGAAAAAAGGAGUUUAGGCUCCUCCCACAGCAAGCACUGUCAGGUCACAUGGGCACGAGCUGGUGCCUAGGAUGCUGCAGAGGACAGAAAAGCUGGGAGGAAGACCUAAUCUCUGAGGUUGUUAGGCAUGGAAGUCAGGGUGCGUGUGCGUGUGUGUGUGUGUGUGUGUGUGUGUGUGUGUGUGUGUAUGUGUAUGUAUGGGUGUGAGUGUGUCUGUGUUUGUAUAUGUUUGUGUGAGUGUUGGUAUGUUUGUGUGUAUCUGUGUAUGUGUUUGUAUAUGUAUGGGUGUGAAUGAUUCUGUGUAUGUGUUUGUAUAUGUGUGUGUGUGUCUGUGUACGUACUUGUAUAUGUAUGUGUGAGUGUGUGUGGGUAUGUUAGUGUGUAUAUGUGUGUGUAUGUCCAUAUGUGUAUGUGAGUAUAUGCCUGUGUGUAUGUGUGUGUGUGUCUCUGUCCGUGUGUCUCUAUAUGUGUGUGUGUUUCUGUAUGUAUGUGUGUGUUUGUAUAUAUGUGUGUGCUAGUAUGUGGAUAUGUUAGGGUGUCUGUGUGUGUGUCUGUGUAUAUGCCUGUAUGCAUGUCUGUGUGUAUCUGUAUAUGUGCUUGUAUAUAUGUGUGUAUGAGUGUGUCUGUGUAUGUGUUUGUAUGUGUGUCUCUGUGUCUGUGUUUGUGUGUGUGUGUGCACGCGCGCACAUGUGUUUGUGAGUAUAUAUGUCUGUAUGUCUCUGUCCAUGUGUUUUUAUGUAUAUGUGUGUAUGAGUUCAUUUCUGUAUGUGUGAGUGUGUGUUUGUAUAUGUGUAUGUGCUAGUGUCUGUGGGUAUGUUAGUGUGUUUGUGUGUAUCUGAUUAUAUGCCUGUGUGUGUCUCUGUGUACAUGUAUGUACUAGUAUGUGUGGGUAUGUUGGUGUGACUAUAUGUGUAUGUGUGUGUGUGUGAGUAUAUGCCUGUGUGUGUAUCUGUGCACAUGUCUCUGUGAGUAUAUGAGUGGGUUUCUGUGUGAGUGUGUGUGUGUGUGUGUGUGUGUGUGUGUGUGUUAAUAGCUCUAGCUAGACACUGGGCUGGGGAGCACAGAAUGCCACAGCUUCACAGAGGGCACAUGGCCAAUCCUUUCAAGAAGGUUGUAGGACACCACCCUCUUGUCCUGGAGCAUCAGCAUCCAGGGAGAGGAACUUUGUUGUACUGCACCAAAAGCUUUGAGUUCCUAGGAAGAAAGGUUCCCAGCUGGAGACCUGAGAAGUGUUUAGCUGCCUAAAGACCCACUCACCCACCCACCCACUGCACCCUCAAGGAGUUCUCUUCAAUUUUAAGGAGUGUUCUUCACGGGCCUCUGCAGGAUGGUAGGGAGGGAGGCUUCAUUAAUGCAAAUUGUGUGGGUAGCUUUAAGGGAAAAAUCUACCUCUCCCUUUUAUGCAGCACGGCUCUCCUUGCUUAAUGAGCACUCUCCGAGUCCAUUUUCCUUAAGGGUUUUAAUGAAAGUAUAAUUUAAAAAAUUAAGACAGAAGGAGAAAGUGUUGAGAGAAAAGCCAUGUCUCCAGGAACGAGCCCUCAAGAUGUUCUCCACGCUGCAAGAGUGGUGGGGAGCCACCUCUGGGAGUACUGAGGAAUUUUUUUAAGGUUCCAUAAAACUCCAGCCCUUGUUGCUACGGCCUAGGGAUUCUUGGCCAGCAGAUAGGAAUUGGAUUUACGGGUAGGGUAAUGUGGCGGUUACUCAGUGGCAGUUUAAUUAAUGCUGAUAUAAGAGCUUGCUUCCUCUCAGACUUAAACUAUGAAGCACAGGAGGGAGAGACGGCUCUGUUUUUAAAGCUGUCUGAAGGCUCUGGUUGCUUUGGUGGGGAGAGGAGGAUGGGCUCUUGGGAGGUCACUCUUGAAGGGCAGCAGUUGGUGAAAUUGAGGUUUGGUCCCAUGUGCUACUAUGUGUGUGUGCAUAUGUGUACACGUGUAUAUUGUGUGAUGUGUGUGUAUAUGGGUAGGUGGUGUGUGUGUGUGGUGUGUGGUAUGUGUGCAUGUGUGUGGUGUGCAUGUGUGUGGAGUGUGUGUAUAUGUGUGUGGCGUGUCUGGGUAGUGUGUGAUGUGUAUUAUGUGGGUGGGUAGUGUGUGUGGUAUGUGUAUGUGCAUGUGUGGGGGUGUAUGUAUGCAUGUACAUAUAUGUGUGGUGUAUAUGGGGGUGUGGGUAUAUGUGCGUGCACAUGCAUGUGCAUGUAUGUGCAUAUGUGGUGUGCAUGUGUGUGUGCUUGUGUGUGGUGUGUGUUUGUGGCAUGGGUGGGAUGUGUGUGCAUGUGUGUGUGUGUGUGGUAUGUGUGCCUCUGUGUGGUGUGUGUAUGUAUGUGUACAUGUAUGUGUGUGCAUGUAUGUGUGUGCAUGUGUGCAUGUAUGGAGUGUGUGUAUGUGGGUGGGUAGUGUGUGUUGUGUGUGGUAUGUGUAUGUGUGUGUGGUAUGUGGAAUGUAGGUAUGUAUGUGCAUGUAUGUGAUGUGUGUGGCUUGUGUGUGUGUAUGGGGUGUGUGUGGGUAUGUAUGUGCACGUGUGUGUGUGUGGCGUGUGAAUAUGUGUGUGUGGCGUGUGAAUAUGUGUGUGUAUAUGCAUGUGUGCAUGUAAUGACCAGCACUGAGCAUCUCUCCAUGACCUCAUUGGCCAUUUGUGUAUCUUUCUUAGUGAAGCAUCUAUUCACACUCUUUGCUCAUUUAUUUAAUUAAUAACUUUCAUUGUUGAAUUGCAAAACUCUUUGCAUAUUCUGGCUCGAAGUCCAUCUUCACGGCUCUCGACGUUCUCCCUCCAUUCUGUGGUUUGUCUUCUUGCUGACUUGCUGGCAUCUUUUCAAAAAGAAAAUAGUUUUAGUUUGAAGAGGAGCCAAUUUCCUUUCUCUUCUCUCGCUUCUGCCGUGGGUUUCAUGCUCAUGUCACUAAGCCCGAGGCCAUGGCCAUCUUUGUCCCCUCCGAGAAUGUUAUGAUGCCAGCUGCACGGCAGGGGAAGGAGUCCUUUUCACUCUGGGAACAUGGGUUGAUCCCAUUUGUUAGGAUGCUCGUUGAUCUCUUCACCAACUGUUCUUGAUACCCUUUAUGAAGAUGUUUUGUUUUGAACUGUGUGUGUGUGUGUGUGUGUGUGUAUUUGUGUAUAUAUGUGUAUGUACCUAUGUGUAGGUAUGCAUGUGUGUGAGUGUGUGUUGUGUGUAUUGUGUAUGUGUAUUGGGUGUAAUGUAUGUGUGUCUAUGUGUGCCUGCAUAUGUGUAUGUGUGUAUAUGCAUCUGUGUGUAUGUGUACAUAUGUGUAUGUAUGUAUAUGUAUAGAUGUAUGUGUUGGGUGUGUACAUAUGUGUAUGUGUGUAUAUGUACAUAUGUAUGUGUUGGGUGUGUGCAUAUGUGUAUCUAUGUAUAUGUACAUAUGUAUUUGUUGGGUGUGUGCAUAUGUGUGUGUUUAUGUGUAUGUUGGGUGUGUACAUGUGUGCAUGUGUGAGACCUAGGCUCAGAGACACAAGAACAUUUGCAUGGAUAGUAAGUUGCAGAGCUAAGAUUUGAACCCAUGUCUCUUUGACUCUGGGGAUGUGUUUAAUUGUAUUACUGGGUGCUUUUCUACACAAAGAGAGGUAGCUUCACAACCCACGGGGAGUUCGUGAGACAGAUUCUGAACCACUGAGGUUUCAGCUGCUGCCCUUGUAGAACGAAGCCUGCCCUACUGUGUUCCUGUGGGAGAAACUGAGCGGCACAGAGAUGUCAAAUUUACCUGACCCAGGUUUCACACUGGGCCAGCUAGGCUCAUUCCUGUAGCACAAAUUGAGAGACACCUGGGAGACGAGUUUUCUUGUCUUGCCUGGCACAAGGAGAGCUAGGGAGACACUGGCUGUAGCCAUUCCUCUCACAGCCAGAUAGCAGCAAGCCAUUUAGAGGGGACAGUGGCAGGGAGAUGAAGGAAGCCCAUUCUUCGACGGCGGUCAGCCACAGUGAAGAGGACAGGAUGAGAAAAUACUGCAGGGGGCAUCCCUGGCCACAGGGAUUUCUCGGAUUCAUAUUAAAGGUCAUUGUUCAUAAUCAUAAGCACUUUAUUUUAUGAGAGCACUGUUGGGCAUCUUGAUGGACGGGGCCCAGUAACACCAGUAGGAGUGUGUGCUGUAUGUGUGUGUGCUAUACACACUGCAUGUCUACAUGCUUAUACAUACACAUUUUGUGUAUGCAUGUGGGUGCACAUUGUAUGUGUGUGGCUGUGUAUAUCUAUACUGUGUGUACAUGUGUGUGCUGUAUGCAUAUGUGUGUAUGUGUCCUAUGCAUGUCCAUGUGUACCAUGUAUGUAUGUUGAUUUCUGCGCUGUGUUCAUAUGUGUGUUAUAUGAAUAUGCUGUGGAUUGUGUGGGUUAAUGUGCAUGCUCCAUAUAUGUGUUGUGUGUGCAUGUGCUGUACCACAUGUGUGUGCAUGCACUCUGUGGGUGCAUGUGCCACAGGUGUACUUUGGAUGAUGCACUGUGUGUGCAUGUGUGCUAUGUGUGUACUGCAUGUGCAUUCCCUGUGCUGUAGCCUCCUAUGGAAAUCAUCGUUUUGACCCCACAGAAGCAGUGAGGCUGGGUGAGAUUGAGUCUUCAAGGCAAUCUGCCCCUUGCUUCCGGUGUGUGGUGAUGCUCAUGGUGUCCCUCUCUGCAGCUGGAGAUCUGGGAAGCAGAGAGCAAUGGUUCCGGGGGAAGGGAAGCCAGGUAGAGCCUGGAGACGGGAAGAUAUGGCUGUGUGUCAUCAAGGAUGUUAAGAACUAUGUGCUUCUAGGUAGAAGCUAAAGGAACAGGACACGGGGUUCAGGACCUCUGCUCCUGUGCUCUAGACUUCUGUUCAGAUCUAUGUGGUCCUUGAGGUUUGUCUGCCCAGUUUGUCCCUUGCAAAACUCAUGGUGAAGUCUGCUCCCCAAAGUCACAGUGUCGAGAUGGAGCAGAACUGUCAUUUCUCAUGGGUUGGGUCUGGUCUCACGGUAGCGAGUGUGUCCAGGCUCUGUGGGGAUGGUGCUGUGACUGCUGGUACAGGGUGUCACAUGGAGUCAGCCAGUAUCUUCCAUUCUGCUUUCUGCCAUUUACUGAAGCAGCAGGAGACUCUCAAAUGCAGCUGCCCCAUGGGGGACUUAACAUUCACAAUGUAACAUUCUUUCUUUUAUAAUGUAACCAGUCUCAGAGAAAAAAGAAAAAAAAGAGCUAGACUCAGACCAGGUGUGUAGUGCCUUGGCCUGGUUUGUUUCUUCCUUUCCUGUUUGUUGACCACUUGUGAAGCCCACAGAGCUGUUUCCUUAGACUUGGCUUUCAGAAACUACUUCUUCAGAACAGAGCUGAGCAGAGCUCAGCAGUUGUGACUGAGCCACAGUGUCAUUUGCAUGCGCAGUGAUUUGCUCAGUUAAUUUGCAUGAAAGCCGCAUCAGUUUGGUUACAUAAUUGAUCAAGUUAAGACAGUGAGCCGAUCUGAGGGUAUUUUGAAAAUUCUUCUCUCUUACCCAAAUCAGCUUAUUGGUUUAAUCUGGUUUUGUGGCUACUGAAAACUCUGAUAUCUCCAUGAGAAGUGGUUUCCCAACUCUACCGGGUUAAACCCUGAUCCCUCACAAGCCUCCACCAAAGCCCACAGCUGGCGGCAUCAAGAGCUUGCUGUGAGCCUCCAUGCAGCCAAGACUGCAGGAGAGAGGAGGAGACCUGGGACUGACUGCACUGUGCCCCACUGUGGGGCUGAAUAUUAUGUUGCUCCAAACCGGUGAGCUCGGAAUUGUAACUUGUUGGAAGAUCCUCAGAAAACACCUGCUCUAGCUAGCAGUGUGUGCCCUUCCCACAGAGCACCACCUAUGGGCAUGAUGGCACCUUCACACAUGGUCUCAAGGACAUGCGGGCUUUUGGCUACUCCGUGGUCAACAAUGAACUCAUGUCCAAUCAGAGAGCCAGUUGGUAGGCAGGCAAAAACAAAUAACAGUGUACAUAUCAACAAUGCUGGGAGUGCGUGGGUGUCCUGGCAUUUGCCUGUUCUGGAAACGAGGCUUUGAGAAAGCCCCUCCUGCUCUGUUUCAGUGACCCAGGCUUAGAGGGUUGGACUAUAGAAGCCAGUAAGAUAACCUUCACUGAGGCUGCACACACUCAGUCCUCAGUCAGGACUGACCAUCCUUAUGUGUUGUCACCACA
Non-coding RNA from Rattus norvegicus (Norway rat), 15647 nucleotides. The record is from RefSeq and is a predicted model, not a curated record. NCBI's taxonomy places the organism in Eukaryota, Metazoa, Chordata, Mammalia, Rodentia, Muridae.